Molecule: unclassified non-coding RNA, 298 nt
Filed under: Hevea brasiliensis (rubber tree)
Lineage: Eukaryota; Viridiplantae; Streptophyta; Magnoliopsida; Malpighiales; Euphorbiaceae
Source: RNAcentral
AUCAACUGUCCAAAUACUGGUAGUGCAGCAGAACUCUUCUAGCUCUUGCAUGUUUCCAUCCUUGAUUCCAAGAAACCUCAAAACCAUCAGAACACAAGCAAGACCGCAGUCCCACGAAUGUAAUUGGUUUAUAUGCGGAACAUCAACAAAGUAUGAGCCGGAAACUGUGCCGUGGAAUUCAUCUCGACCCAAUGAUUGUUUUAAGACCAAACUUAAAUGCUCCCUUUCUGAUUCUUCGGUGUUAUCUUCUUCUGUUCCCAAAAACUUGCUCAAUAGAACAAAUAAUGGCCACAUCUCA